This 2748-nucleotide long non-coding RNA is filed under the name Musa acuminata (dwarf banana). RNAcentral's name for it is "long non-coding RNA (MACU_LNC002137)". Lineage: Eukaryota; Viridiplantae; Streptophyta; Magnoliopsida; Zingiberales; Musaceae. The record is from RNAcentral.
GCAGGUCAACCUUGAUAAUUACCGUGGCUAUCUGUGCCAAGGCGAGCAAGAGAAGCACAUGCAAACAGACAUGAAUCAGUUUUGGCUUCCAUGAACAAAAGUUUCAGCCUUCUUUUUCUUGUGUUGUGGAGCUUUUGACUCAGUACAAAAGUCAAAGAAUGUUGAAGAACAUCAUGUUGAAUCCAAAGUCCAAGAAAAUCUAAACCGAGCAGAGAUUUUUUAUCUAAAAGAAGAAGGGUCAAAUCCACAAGACCGAUCGAUAUCCUGUUUGUUUUUGGUCAUCCGGAUUGCAAGAUGUGAGUUAUCUAAUUAAUAAAGAACACAUCAAAGAAAAACACAGCAUGAAGUUGACCAACACAUAAACAUCCAUGGCUGACAAUAAAUUCAUCUUUAUCCUCACAAUUCGCUCACCACAGUGAACACAGAUUUUUAAGAGAGAGAGAGAGAGAGAGAGAGAGAGAUGAACACCUCGGCCAUCUCUCGAAAGUUUUGAGACCCCAAGCUGGUGGAGAAGCGGAUAACCAAAGGCUCCCUUUAUAGAGGCAGUCGACGGGCCACCAACACAAUGACUGAUCAAGAAUAAAGCUUUUCUUGUAUCUACCCUCGUGUGAUUCAUGGCCAUGUUUAAAGCACCCUUACCUUCGCGAGUGCCUCUUCCGGAGGUUGUUGGAACGUCACGAGUCACACGAUGAAGCCAUGUGUGGUGCGGCCGAGCGUUCUCAGUGUGCGUUGUAUAUGGCACUGUUUAUCGAGUCUGGAAAAUGAGCCAGUAAAGAUUCAGAGCCAAUGUACUUUGAGAGAGAUUAUUUUCGUGACCCAAACAAAUACUCUGGUUUUUCGGGUUGCAGAAGAACAAGUUUACCGUCCCAAGACUGAAAACUCGACAUACAGAAGAACAAGUACUCAAAACCAGUCUUUCGUUCUGUCUUCUUCCUGUGUUCCUUGUGUUUGGGGCGCUGUUUUAUCAAUGCCGGCACGGGGUACAGGGACAGGAUUCUUGUUGAGAUAACUCACUACUGUCUCCAUUUUGUUCAUGGCCUCGCGACCAUUAUCACUCGGUACUUGUUUGUUGAAUCACAGAAGGUACCGUUCCUUCGCGGCAGUGCAAUCAAUACUCAUAGCCGAGGAUGGAACCAAGAAAAGGUACCGUUCCUUCGUUCUCCAUUGGCCGCCACCAUCGACCGCUACUCACCACACGUCGUCGCCGCCAUCGUCAUCACGGUAGGUAAUGCAUCUCAAUCCCAACCUGCUGCGAGAUGAUCCUUCUUGUCCAUGUCGAGAUGGAUGGCAAAGUUUAUUUUAUGAAAGGUUUACGAUAAGAUGGUAUUUAGGAGAGAUAUUAUAAGUGAGAUGAUCCUUCUUGUCUAUGUUGACAGGUACAUUAGGAACGGCUAACAUCGUUCUUGACAAGGAAAAGGAGACGGACGGGUCUCCAACCGGUAUGUCGUCGUAAUCAAAUGUCAAGUCGAUGACGAAAGCAAUCAUUUAUGCUCGGACUUGUAAAUUUUCUACUUGUUAUAAUAUUUCGUAUUGUUGGGGGUUUAUAAAUCCAUUCUUUUUUGUGGCUUCGAAAUUAUCUAUUUUAUCUCUUCUUUUUUUUUGUUCGUAUAUUAAAUUUAGAUUACGAGUAUAAACAAAAAAUCGCUAUAUAAACAUCGUAUUUGCGACGAUUGAGAUAUAACAGCAUAAACAUAUAUCAUCAUAUAUUAUAUUACGUACAUUACGUUUACCUCAUUCCCCCUUCUUAUCCGUUAUCUAUUACCGUUACCAAAUGACAUCUUGCAACGAGAAUGACUAUAUGCAUAGGAAAUUACAUAAUAGAGCGGGAAUAAGAAGGGUCCUACUCGAGGACGAUCUUGUAGCCGUCACCCUUGUAACAGUGACGGCCGUCGGACAGCAGGCCGCAGGAGCAGCUGCGGCGGCACCCGCGGUGUGGCUCGUAGCAGGGGUACGGCUGGCAGCAACCGACGGGCCACGCCGAGGGCGGGAAAACACACACGUGGAGCUUCACCACCACCUCAGGCGGCGGCGGCGGUUUAUCGGGCUUUGGUUUUUCGUCCUUGGGAGGAGAAGAAGGUGGGGGUUUCGGCGGUUUGAUCUGGACGUCUUCGAUCGCCUUGCAGGCGAGGCAGCGAAGCUUCCUGAUGAAGCACUCAGGGUUGAAGGGGCCGGAUACUGUGACGGUGUUCUUCUUCUCGUCGUAGACGAUUGAUUCGAUGUUGAACCAGUCUCCGACGCAUCGACCAAUUUCCACACAAAUUUGUCAGCACCAAGAGAGAGAGAGAGAGAGAGAGACGGAAGCUUACUUUGGAGCUUGCACAGAGCUUUCUUGAUCUUCUUGGAGUUGGAGCAGCAGUGCAGGUCAACCUUGAUGAUUACCGUGGCUAUCUGUGUCAAGGCGAGCAAGAAAAGCACAGGCAAGCAGACAUGUAUCAGUUUUGGCUUCCAUGAACAAAAGUUUCAGCCUUCUUUUUCUUGUGUUGUGGAGCUUUUGACUCGGUAGAAAAGUCGAUGAAUGUUGAAGAACAUCAUGUUGAUUCCAAAGUCCAAGAAAAUCUAAACCAAGCAGAGAAAUUUUAUCUAAAAGAAGAAGGGUCAAAUCCACAAGACCGAUCUGUUUUUGCUCAUCCGGAUUGUAUGAUGUGAGUUAUCCAAUUAACAAAGAACACAUCAAAGAAAAACACAGCAUGAAGUUGACCAACACAUAAAGAUCCAUGGCUGACAAUAAAUUCAUCUUUAUCCAGACAA